Molecule: transfer RNA, 61 nt
Filed under: Dipodomys ordii (Ord's kangaroo rat)
Lineage: Eukaryota; Metazoa; Chordata; Mammalia; Rodentia; Heteromyidae
Source: Rfam by way of RNAcentral
GGCACUGUGGCUCAAGUGGUAGAGCACUAGCUUUGAACAUAGAGGCUCAGAGACAGUGCCU